Molecule: long non-coding RNA, 163 nt
Organism: Elgaria multicarinata webbii
Lineage: Eukaryota; Metazoa; Chordata; Lepidosauria; Squamata; Anguidae
Exons: 3
Source: RefSeq, a predicted model, not a curated record
AAAUCAUUUUGAUUCCUUACAAUAUAGUCUGAUAUGUGUCUACUCAGAAGUAAGUCUGAUUGACUUCAUUGGGGCUUACUCCCAGAUUUACCUGUAACUCCCAAGCCUUUCAGUGAUCUCAGAGGGAUUUACCUCUGGCUAAAUCUUCACUCGCUCUUCCCAC